This 83-nucleotide transfer RNA is filed under the name Candidatus Diapherotrites archaeon CG08_land_8_20_14_0_20_30_16. Its description in RNAcentral is "tRNA-Leu". It matches the Rfam family "tRNA". Rfam says of the family: Transfer RNA (tRNA) molecules are approximately 80 nucleotides in length. Their secondary structure includes four short double-helical elements and three loops (D, anti-codon, and T loops). Lineage: Archaea; Nanobdellati; Candidatus Iainarchaeota. The record is from RNAcentral.
GCAGGGGUUCCAGAGUGGUCAAAUGGGCAGGACUCAAGAUCCUGUGGCGUAGGCCUUCGAGAGUUCGAGCCUCUCUCCCUGCA